UUACCUCUUGAAUGUUGUUCAGUCUAUCGAAUGUGCAAUAUGGUGGGAUUUACAAGGCAUUUUUAUAGCAAACUUUGCAUCAGAGAAUUUCUGACUGAACUGUACAUACAGUAUUAUAAGCAUAUUUCAAACUUCUGGGAAGAUAGAAAUUUUACACACUGUUCUAGGAACUAAUACAGACUCCAAGAGUAUGAAGAGUUUAGAGACCAACUAGAAAGCAGUCUGCAUGUGGAUUCAAGAGUUAAAUUUCUUGUUCACCUAAUUAAACAUCACUUAGCAAGGGAGGAUCAGCAGCAUGAUGUAAAAGAAGAUGGGCUCUGAGUAGGUACUGGUCCCAUCCCUAGGCUCCACAUACAAGGGAGACAGGAGAGGCUGAAGUAGUUUUGAGCCUCUGCAGCAGAGACUGCUUGUCUGCAAGGGUGUGAGUCUGAAGCCAUUACUGCUGUAUAUGAGUACCUGUUCUAUUCUCAAAGUUGCCUGUAUAGCCUUAAUUCUUUUAUUCUGUGGAUAUUUAAUAUGGGGAGCAGUCUCUAAUGCUGUAGAUCGUUACUGCUUUGCAAAUGGUGCAGUAUUUUUAUAAAACUUUACAAAACUGUAGGGUUAUAAAUUCCCUCGUGUUUUCUAUGGCAGCUGGCUUUUCUCCUCUGCACCAGUGCAGGGGUUUCUGCUCUGUAGGCUGAAACUCUGAAAUAACAUGUCAAAAAGAAAGGCUUUCAAAAAAGACAAGGAUGGGAAAAAAUAAUGGGAGGCUGCGUGAAAGCAGAGGAUUGUUAAGCUGUCUUUGACCAAAGAAAACAUAUUUCACUUUGGUGGAUCAUAAAAUAUCUGGUAUAUCAUAAAAGCAGACUACACAAGUAGAGUGGUGUGUGUUACAUUUGUACAGCAUGCUACACAUGAAGUGUAACAACAAAAAGUAGUAUGAAAAAGCAGCAAACUGAAACUGGAAAAAAAAAUGCUGAUAUUUAGGCCAACCUCAGCUUCUUUUUAAGUAGAAUUUGUGGAGGGCUGCAUUGCAUGUGUUUGUGUAGCUCAUUUAUCUUCAUUGUUAACUACUUGAUCUUUUGCGUUGUAUCUAAGUAAUUUUUAAUAGGGUAAUUAUAAUGUCUGGGUAUUCCACAAUUUUUAACACAUGUUUUCCUUAGAUGAAGAAGAUUUAUCAUUUUAAACUGCCAAAUAUAAUGAACUAAGCCAUGGGAGAAAAACAUACUACAAAAAUAUCAAGAAAAAGCAGAGAUUGAAAAGUAUUAUGUGUGUUUCCUACAUUUAAAGAUCAUAGGAAAAGCUGUAUAUUAUAUGUAUUAUUUGAAAAUAAUAUAAAUUCUCCACAGUCAGCCAAGACCAAACAUAGAGCUUUAAUAAGG
Molecule: long non-coding RNA, 1361 nt
Organism: Gallus gallus (chicken)
Lineage: Eukaryota; Metazoa; Chordata; Aves; Galliformes; Phasianidae
Source: Ensembl